GACGAACGCUGGCGGCGUGCUUAACACAUGCAAGUCGAACGGUGAACCUCUUCGGAGGGGAUCAGUGGCGAACGGGUGAGUAACACGUGGGCAACCUGCCCCCGGCUCUGGGAUAACUCCAAGAAAUUGGGGCUAAUACCGGAUGUUCACCGCUUCCCGCAUGGGUGGUGGUGGAAAGGGUUUCCGGCUGGGGAUGGGCCCGCGGCCUAUCAGCUUGUUGGUGGGGUAGUGGCCUACCAAGGCGACGACGGGUAGCCGGCCUGAAAGGGUGGCGGGCCAUACUGAUACUGAGACACGACGCAGACUCCAUCCGGAGACUGCAGUGGCGAUUCUUGCGCAUUGGGCGGAGGACUAUCGCGACGACGCCGCGUGGGGUGUGUCGGCCUUCGGGGUGUAAACCUCUAACGGCAGUGUCGAAGCGAAAGUGACGGUUCCUGCAGAAGAGGCUCCGGCCAACUAGGUG
This 463-nucleotide ribosomal RNA is filed under the name uncultured bacterium. RNAcentral's name for it is "partial 16S ribosomal RNA". It matches the Rfam family "Bacterial small subunit ribosomal RNA", at positions 28 to 507 of the family's 1533-position model. The record is from RNAcentral.